GACGAACCGUGCGAACGUUGUUCGGAAUCACUGGGCUUAAAGGGCGCGUAGGCGGCCGGGUUGGUCGUGGGUGAAAUCCCCCAGCUUAACUGGGGAACUGCCUACGAUACUGCCUGGCUCGAGGGAGGAAGGGGCGGUCGGAACUGUCGGUGGAGCGGUGAAAUGCGUUGAUAUCGACAGGAACGCCGGUGGCGAAGGCGGGUCUCUGGGCAACAACUGACGCUGAGGAGCGAAAGCGUGGGGAGCGAACAGG
This 253-nucleotide ribosomal RNA is filed under the name uncultured bacterium. RNAcentral's name for it is "partial 16S ribosomal RNA". It matches the Rfam family "Bacterial small subunit ribosomal RNA", at positions 524 to 776 of the family's 1533-position model. The record is from RNAcentral.